UGGGGAAUAUUGCGCAAUGGGCGAAAGCCUGACGCAGCGACGCCGCGUGGAGGAUGAAGGUCUUCGGAUUGUAAACUUCUGUUAAGUGGGAAGAAAAGCUUAUUUCUAAUAAAGAUAAGUUCUGACUGUACCAUUAGAGAAAGCACUGGCUAAUCUCGUGCCAGCAGCCGCGGUAAUACGAGAGGUGCAAGCGUUAUUCGGAAUUACUGGGCGUAAAGGGUGCGUAGACGGCAUAUUAAGUCAACUGUUAAAUUCUCCGGCCUAACCGGAGGUCAGCGGUAGAUACUGAUGUGCUAGAGGAUGGGAGAGAGAGGUGGAAUUCUCGGAGUAGCGGUAAAAUGCGUAGAUCUCGAGAGGAACACCGAUGGCGAAGGCAGCUUCUUGGCCCAUUUCUGACGUUGAGGCACGAAAGCGUGGGGAGCAAACAGG
RNAcentral lists this ribosomal RNA (429 nucleotides) under uncultured bacterium. Its description in RNAcentral is "bacterial SSU rRNA". It matches the Rfam family "Bacterial small subunit ribosomal RNA", at positions 355 to 776 of the family's 1533-position model. The record is from RNAcentral.